GGGGGGAAUAUUGCACAAUGGAGGAAACUCUGAUGCAGCGACGCCGCGUGAAUGAUGAAGGCCUUCGGGUUGUAAAGUUCUGUCCUUGGGGAAGAUAAUGACGGUACCCAAGGAGGAAGCCCCGGCUAACUACGUGCCAGCAGCCGCGGUAAUACGUAGGGGGCGAGCGUUGUCCGGAAUUAUUGGGCGUAAAGGGUUCGCAGGCGGUCUGAUAAGUCAGAUGUGAAAGGCGUAGGCUCAACCUACGUAAGCAUUUGAAACUGUCAGACUUGAGUUAAGGAGAGGAAAGUGGAAUUCCUAGUGUAGCGGUGAAAUGCGUAGAUAUUAGGAGGAAUACCAGUGGCGAAGGCGACUUUCUGGACUUAUACUGACGCUGAGGAACGAAAGCGUGGGGAGCAAACAGGAUUAGAUACCCUGGUAGUCCACGCCGUAGACGAUGAGUGCUAGGUGUUGGGGGUCAAACCUCGGUGCCGCAGCUAACGCAUUAAGCACUCCGCCUGGGGAGUACGUACGCAAGUAUGA
Molecule: ribosomal RNA, 522 nt
Filed under: uncultured bacterium
Lineage: Bacteria
Description: bacterial SSU rRNA
Rfam family: Bacterial small subunit ribosomal RNA
Source: RNAcentral